AUAACCUCUUCUCGCCAUUUCCCCGUCCCUCCAGAGCCUGCUCCCCUCCCCCUCCUCCACCUUUAUUCGCACAAAUGAAUGUGGCUGGGCUGGCGCAGAGCCUGGCCCUGCAUCUUAAUGGGGCGGUGAGCUCACAAGAUGGAUUUAGCUGGGGGUUUUAUGGUUGCCGCGGCGACAGGAGAAUGCUUUGGUUUUCUUUCCCCCUUCCUCUGCAGGAUUUUAAGGAGGGGGCAGUUUGGGGAGUCCUCCUCUCCACUGCAAUUUAAGGGUCUCCUUCUCAGUCACCUCUACUGCUUAUGAACUGGGCCUGCAAUUCCAGGAUUAAGCAAGAGAGAUGGAAAGGAUGAGGGGAGGAAGGUCCAAGAAUGAGAAGAAGCCCUGCAGCACAGGACUUGCCUGCUUCCCGUUGGAAACCUGACAGUUAGGCUCAGCAAGUGGGGAGCACCUGGGUGCAGGAUUCCUCUCAGCACAUAGAAAAGAAGAAAGUUCAUGUUCCAUUACGUCACUCCUGCCUGUGGUCUUGCAUUGAAAGCUGGAGUGCAGCAGGCAGAAGGGCUAGGGUCAUUCUGUCUUUACCUGAGCUGUACAAAAAGCAGUGACCAGACUUAGCAUCCUAACCUGCCUUAUCACCCAGCUUGGUCCUUGGGUAGGGGAUGUGUCAGUGCUGGAGUUGGGGAUUGGUGACCAGCGAUGGUGUGGUGAGCUGAGUUCUAUCCAGUCUCAAACUUGGAAUUCUCUGAGCUUCAGUUUCUCUUGUCUUCUCUUUCCCAGUAGGAAUGAAACUUUGGGUGCCAGGCCUACCCAGGAUUCUGGUCAGCAAUUUUCUUUCAGGACUCUGAGCAAACCAUCCUCAGCACUGACUGGAGCAGAGACAGGGGAACAUUGCAUGAUCUCCCUUGCUUUUUUUUUUUGGUCUGGUUGUGGGCCUCUGAAUUUCUGUUUGUGAGCCUUUCCCUAUUUCCCAGGGGACCCCAAGAGGCCCCUCCCCCCCUCUCCUGCUUCUUCCCCUUUGGCUGGGAAAGUGACUACAGCCUGAACAGUGCCAGACACCUGCUUGCCAGAUGUGGCAAUUCCCCACUCCCCCCCCCCCCCCCCCCCAUGUCUAUCCUUUCCCCACCCCACUGAGCUCAGGCAGAGGGAGCACCCCCACAGAGUGAUUUACUGCAGCUUCUCUUCCUCAAGUGCCCCCCUCAGGCUCCUCUCCCUCCCCCUGGUACCCAUGUCCCCCUCAUUUCCCACCAUUUCCUGCAGCCACCUUCCUGGUACAGCCUCUUCCCACUCCCACUG
RNAcentral lists this long non-coding RNA (1287 nucleotides) under Marmota monax (woodchuck). The record is from RNAcentral. Lineage: Eukaryota; Metazoa; Chordata; Mammalia; Rodentia; Sciuridae.